Molecule: long non-coding RNA, 232 nt
Filed under: Dromaius novaehollandiae (emu)
Lineage: Eukaryota; Metazoa; Chordata; Aves; Casuariiformes; Dromaiidae
Description: lncRNA (ENSDNVG00000012777.1)
Source: RNAcentral
AUUAAUCCAGUGUGUUGAGAGCUACAUUCUUCUGAGAGACUCCUCCCAUGUUUCCAACCUGGGCAACUUGUCUUGUAUUAUUAGUCUGUGGAUUAAAAUUGCUCCUUCAUAAAAUAUCAUACUCUGGAAAGAAACUCAGGCAACAGGCUGUACAGAAGGUCUGCCCAGAUGGGGCUCUGAGAGAAAAAAAGGACACCUCAGAGAAAAACUAGGUCUGUGGUAGCRCUCUUCA